RNAcentral lists this unclassified non-coding RNA (227 nucleotides) under rhizosphere metagenome. Its description in RNAcentral is "partial ribosomal RNA internal transcribed spacer region". The record is from RNAcentral.
GUAGGUGAACCUGCGGAAGGAUCAUUAAAGAGAGCUUGCCCUUCGGGGUUAACAGAUCUCCCACCCUUUGUUUACCAUACUCUUGUUGCUUUGGCAGGCCCGCCCUGCGCCGCCGGCUUCAGGCUGGCCAGCGCCUGCCAGGGGAUUUUGAAAAAAACUCGUUGAUUUAGUGUCGUCUGAGUACAUGAUAAUAGUUAAAACUUUCAACAACGGAUCUCUUGGUUCUG